CCUACGGGUGGCAGCAGUGGGGAAUAUUGCACAAUGGGCGCAAGCCUGAUGCAGCAAUGCCGCGUGUGUGAAGAAGGCCUUCGGGUUGUAAAGCACUUUCAGCGGGGAGGAAGGCGGUGAGGUUAAUAACCUCAUCGAUUGACGUUACCCGCAGAAGAAGCACCGGCUAACUCCGUGCCAGCAGCCGCGGUAAUACGGAGGGUGCAAGCGUUAAUCGGAAUUACUGGGCGUAAAGCGCACGCAGGCGGUCUGUCAAGUCGGAUGUGAAAUCCCCGGGCUCAACCUGGGAACUGCAUUCGAAACUGGCAGGCUAGAGUCCUGUAGAGGGGGGUAGAAUUCCAGGUGUAGCGGUGAAAUGCGUAGAGAUCUGGAGGAAUACCGGUGGCGAAGGCGGCCCCCUGGACAAAGACUGACGCUCAGGUGCGAAAGCGUGGGGAGCAAACAGGAUUAGAUACCCGGGUAGUC
This 465-nucleotide ribosomal RNA is filed under the name uncultured Klebsiella sp. RNAcentral's name for it is "bacterial SSU rRNA". It matches the Rfam family "Bacterial small subunit ribosomal RNA", at positions 338 to 795 of the family's 1533-position model. Lineage: Bacteria; Pseudomonadati; Pseudomonadota; Gammaproteobacteria; Enterobacterales; Enterobacteriaceae. The record is from RNAcentral.